GUAGGUGGCAAGCGUUGUCCGGAAUUAUUGGGCGUAAAGCGCGCGCAGGCGGUUCUUUAAGUCUGAUGUGAAAGCCCACGGGCUCAACCGUGGAGGGUCAUUGGAAACUGGAGAACUUGAGUACAGAAGAGGAAAGCGGAAUUCCACGUGUAGCGGUGAAAUGCGUAGAGAUGUGGAGGAACACCAGUGGCGAAGGCGGCUCUCUGGUCUGUAACUGACGCUGAGGCGCGAAAGCGUGGGGAGCAAACAGGAUUAGAUACCCUGGUAGUCCACGCCGUAAACGAUGAGUGCUAAGUGUUAGGGGGUUUCCGCCCCUUAGUGCUGCAGCUAACGCAUUAAGCACUCCGCCUGGGGAGUACGGCCGCAAAGGCUG
Molecule: ribosomal RNA, 373 nt
Filed under: uncultured organism
Description: partial 16S ribosomal RNA
Rfam family: Bacterial small subunit ribosomal RNA
Source: RNAcentral